This is a long non-coding RNA of Pieris brassicae (large cabbage white), 1470 nucleotides long. RefSeq lists it as uncharacterized. NCBI's taxonomy places the organism in Eukaryota, Metazoa, Arthropoda, Insecta, Lepidoptera, Pieridae. The record is from RefSeq and is a predicted model, not a curated record. The transcript has 3 exons.
CCAGUCUUUCACAAAAGGUCGCGAGAUAAAGACGCGCAACACGGUAAUCGAGUUUUAAUAUAUAGUCUACAUGUGAAUUUAUCCUAUUGUGCAGUACUCUUGGAAAUUAUAUUCAAGAUGAAGCUAAUAGCUGGAAUAGUAUUCGUUUGUUUUUUCCUUCUAAUUGAGGCAGGGAGAGUGCCAGACAAUUCUGAUAUCAGUAUUAGUGAUGAACUGCUUGACGAUGUAAAAAACGUUUAUAGCAAUCCGGAGAAAAGUCUCAGACGACGAAAACGACACUAUUUUCCACACUCUAGAUACUUUUUGGAACGUGGAAUGGACCGAAACUUCUACGAAUCUUACCAAGAUGAUAGAAGAAUUACAGAAUUAGAGAUAAGACUUCAAAUACAACAAGAGCAAAUUAAUGAACUUCUGUUUAGAAGAUGUGAACCCAAAGUAAUAGUCGUGCCAGUUUAUUUACCCUCAAGUGGAAACAACAACACUAGUGAUCCCUUGGGAGUUAGAUAUGGCGUGGAAGAUGAGAUUGAAAGAGAAAGACUCUGGGGCAGCGAAGAUGAUCUAAAUGGGAUGCGUCCAAUUUCGCUGAGACCUGUUAGACCUAGCCGGCCGAUGCCCAAGCAGCCACCAGUACAACACGGAACUAUUCAAGCUGAGACUAGUACCAAAGCACCUAUUAUCACUAUAUGCAAAACUGCUAUACUGAUAUGUUGUGACAAAGAAGAAGACGAGAGAAGAAAGUGUUUCUUGAACUUCAAUUGUCCAAAAGUAGCCAGUUCAGAUGCAACCUGUAGUAAAAGUAUUUUGGAUCGAAUCAAAAACGAAUUUAUAGCUGCUUAUGCACCUGAUGGAGAGUAAAAUUAAUGUAAUAUAGAUACCGAAAUCAGUAUUCUUAUAUCUUUAAGAAUUUUUUUUACUCUCGUAAAAGAUGACGUAAUCCUAAAAAAACAUUGUUGACAUUUUAAGAGCCCACGUGCAUUACAUUAUUUGCAUUUAUGAAGUCCAAGCCAGCAAUUUGUAUAUACGAAAUUCGGAUACAAUAUACAGCAAUUGAUUUCAAUUAUUAUAUGAUAUUACUGUGUAAUGUCAGAAACUGAAUUAAGUAAAAAUGUAUCUACUUAUUAUUCAUUAUAUUUAUAAAAUAAAUUAUAAGUUAUAGUAGAUUCGCAUUAGAGCGAAUGUAAAUUGUAUGUUGUAUGUGAUUGUAUGAAUGUUAGCUGCAUUUACAGUAUUGGGUUUAUUUAUGUCUUACGAGUAACUUAAUUUAAAUAAUGGCAGCAACAAAUUAUUUGAACUAUAGCUCCUUGCUAUAAAUGUGAAAAGCAAUACCAAUUUUCAUGUAUGUCUAUCUUUAAUUUUGUGAACAAUAACCAAGCAGCUAAUAUCCGUCACUGGACCGCAUUCUAACUACUAAUAGGUCCAUAUACUUCCGUUAAGUUCCUAGUCAAAAAAUAAAAUCUGUUUAAACUAAAA